Molecule: ribosomal RNA, 725 nt
Filed under: Pseudochromadora rossica
Lineage: Eukaryota; Metazoa; Nematoda; Chromadorea; Desmodorida; Desmodoridae
Description: eukaryotic LSU rRNA
Rfam family: Eukaryotic large subunit ribosomal RNA
Source: RNAcentral
CUUUGAAGAGAGAGUUCAAGAGGGCGUGAAACCGUUUGGAAGCAAACAGAUGGAACUGACGGACUGUCUGUGGCAUACAGCUGGCUUUGAUGCCCCAUUCUGGUAGUUGAGGGGAACUUUCAAUUUUCCAGUACWUGGUGCGUCUAGCUGGUGCAUUUGCCAUGGAUGUGCAUUGGAAACCAUGUUGGUGCUGGAUGGAUGACAGCYGUAGAUGGGCCAUUUUGUUGGUUACAUGCUGCUGUUUGRAGCCAAGUUGCUGGUAUGGUGCAUGUGAGCACUCGCCUACUUACCCRUGGAGAAAACAUGGGCAGUUGUACAGUGGUUUUGUGCUUGCACAACUCCACGAAUCCUGCAAAUGUGGACUCCAUUGUCACAGUAGGUGCUCUAUUCCAAUGUUUUUGUCAGCAACCCAUCUGACCCGUCUUGAAACACGGACCAAGGAGUCUAACAUGUGCGCAAGUCACUGGGUUGCAAAACCUAUGGGCGCAAUGAAAGUGAAAAUCAGUUUGUCUGGUUUACAUGGGACCUUCUACACUGUGGAAGUGCACCAUGGUCCUGUCCAUACUGCAUUGUCAGUAGGGCGGCGAUAGAGCGUAUGUGUUGGGACCCGAAAGAUGGUGAACUAUGCCUGAGCAGGAUGAGGCCAGAGGAAACUCUGGUGGAGGUCCAUAGCGAUUCUGACGUGCAAAUCGAUCGUCGGACUUGGGUAUAGGGGCGAAAGACUA